UCCAAAUAGACUGUAAUAUCUUUAAAAACAUAUUACAUUACACACAGGUGGAAACAGUAAAUCCUCUUUUGCAACCCAGAAUUCAUUAUUGAGUAUGAGUUUCAGUACAGUAAGAAGGAAUAUA
This 124-nucleotide small nucleolar RNA is filed under the name Dipodomys ordii (Ord's kangaroo rat). RNAcentral describes it as "Small nucleolar RNA SNORA40". It matches the Rfam family "Small nucleolar RNA SNORA40". Rfam says of the family: The snoRNA ACA 40 belongs to the H/ACA family of snoRNAs and guides the pseudouridylation of 28S rRNA subunit at position U4565. The record is from Rfam by way of RNAcentral. Lineage: Eukaryota; Metazoa; Chordata; Mammalia; Rodentia; Heteromyidae.